Molecule: long non-coding RNA, 549 nt
Organism: Drosophila busckii
Lineage: Eukaryota; Metazoa; Arthropoda; Insecta; Diptera; Drosophilidae
Exons: 3
Source: RefSeq, a predicted model, not a curated record
UAGAACUUUCGGCUUGCAUACAUCAAAAAACUGAAAGUUUUACAAUUUAAUUUCAACAACUACAACAAAGUUUUGCGCUUGAAAAAGUAAAAACAAUUAAAUUGUUUGUGCGCCUAUUUCUGCAAAGCCUAAAGCACUAAAAACUUAAGAAUGUGCCGUGGACACUGUGGCUAUGGACCUUUUGGCUGCUGGGGUCCCUGGACAGCUGCUGGCGGCAGCUGUGGACAAAAUGGCGGCUGCAUGUGCAGUCCAUAUGGCGGCUGUGGUGGUCCAUGCGGUGGCUGCGGACCCAGCGGCUGCGGUCCCAUAGGCUGCGGACCUAGCGGUCCAGCUAGCUGGCCAUUCGGAUUAUAUACGUGCUAAGCGCUUUGGAAUGAAAUCAGGAGGCAGAAUGUGUUUUAUUUUUAAAUGCACAAAAUAGUUACAAAAUCCAAAAGCUUGAUCGCUCCCACUGUAAUCUAGCGAAUGGUUGAACUAAGCUAUAAACAAUAAGUGCUGUUAAAAUUGCUUGACACUCUCGACAAUAAAAAUGUAUUGUUUAUAAAAAAA